GUUUUUUUGUAGGCCCUGGCACUGAUUGAGUUGUUUAAUGCUCCAGAAGGACGUUACAAACAGGAUGUGUAUCUCCUUCCAAAGAAAAUGGACGAGUAUGUGGCCAGUUUGCACCUACCCAACUUUGAUGCCCACCUGACAGAGCUGACUGACGAGCAGGCCAAAUACAUGGGCCUCAACAAGAAUGGCCCUUUCAAACCUAAUUAUUACCGGUAUUAAUGAGAAUGCCCGAUCCUCAACGCACAGUUACCCUGCAACAAACAGAGAUAUCUAUUUUAUUUUCUAAAUAGCUACAGAAUGGAGGAAUUAUUUUACUUAUGCUGAAUGUAACUUAUUAAAAGCACCUCAGAAGUAGAGUUAAAUGAUAAAAAAAGGACGAGUAAAGUCACGUAGAAAACAUAUAACCAACUAACAUUUUACACGUCUUGUCAGGUGUUUAAACAAAAGCCUACUUGCAUGCUAUGAUGUAUGUGCACGUAUGUAGUUGCUUCAGAUUAUGUUACUAGAUCACAGAGUUGCUGAUUUGUUUACCCCAUUUACGCACAGUGCCAAAUGAUGGCCGUAAGAAUGAAACAGAGGAUACCUUUUCGAUUUUGUCCACCGUGACAUUAAGAUUUGCCGGGUACAUUCCUUGAGCCAGAGUUUAGGCUGAGCCAAAACAAACUCUGUGUUACAACUUAGAUUAUUUUAGAAAUGUUUGUUUUUAUAUAUACGUCAAAUAAUCCGUUUCAAUGGUAUCUGCAUACAUGCCCUAAAAGGUAACAUCCAGUCAUCCUUUUUAUUACAGCAGUGAUGAUGAUGAACUGUUGCCUGUUACAUAAACAAAAGGAUGAAGUCUUGUUUAUUCACGUCUUGUGAUCAAGUAAUGUCGUUUUGCUAAUGACAGAUUAAGAUGUUGUUUUAUGUCUGGGUGUGGAGCAGCUGAUGUCUUUCCUAAAAAGGAAGUUGGAGAAGACUUACAGAGAGCUGGUAAAACACUUUUUGACUGCUUUAUCUUCCCUCGUUUCAUCCCAAGUUUCCAUUUGCUCACUUGAAUUCCAGACGCCUCACUGAAGAGUUUUUCUGACUGGAUAGUACCUUUGAGGCCAUGAUAUGAAUGUGCCUUUUAAAUGAUUUAUAACAACAUAAUACUAGCGCUGAGCUUAAUUAUAUGAACCAUUCCUUUUUGUAAAACUGCAUUUAUUAGAAGUACAUUAACUGUCUUCCUUCCACUGCUUCUGGUUGUACGUAUAACUAUAAUGUAUGAGCUGUGUGUUGGCAAAAUAUAUAUAUAUAUAUUAGACUUUAUGUCAGGCAUAUGAUUGUAGUCGUCUUAAUUUGAUCCAACAAGAUCACUUUAAUAUUUCAUGUGAUCGAAAUGACAUAAGUGUAUACUAUCUAUGUAAACGAUUGCAUUAAAUCAGCAAUAAAGCGAGUCUUUUUACCAUGA
Molecule: non-coding RNA, 1429 nt
Organism: Neolamprologus brichardi
Lineage: Eukaryota; Metazoa; Chordata; Actinopteri; Cichliformes; Cichlidae
Source: RefSeq, a predicted model, not a curated record